Non-coding RNA from Gossypium hirsutum (cotton), 119 nucleotides. Lineage: Eukaryota; Viridiplantae; Streptophyta; Magnoliopsida; Malvales; Malvaceae. The record is from Rfam.
GGGUGCGAUCAUACCAGCACUAAUGCACCGGAUCCUAUCAGAACUCCACAGUUAAGCGUGCUUGUGCGAGAGUCAUACUAGGAUGGGUGACCUCGUGAGAAGUCCUCGUGUUGCACCCC